GUGCUCACUAAGGUGGCACAUAGACUAAAACUGGAACGAUACCACGAAGAUUAGCAUGGUCCCUCAGCAAGGAUGACACACAAAUUCAUGACGCAUUCCAUAUUUUA
Small nuclear RNA from Cynocephalus volans (Philippine flying lemur), 107 nucleotides. NCBI's taxonomy places the organism in Eukaryota, Metazoa, Chordata, Mammalia, Dermoptera, Cynocephalidae. The record is from RefSeq and is a predicted model, not a curated record.